Molecule: ribosomal RNA, 473 nt
Filed under: uncultured bacterium
Lineage: Bacteria
Description: bacterial SSU rRNA
Rfam family: Bacterial small subunit ribosomal RNA
Source: RNAcentral
AGGACGAACGCUGGCGGCAUGCCUAACACAUGCAAGUCGAACGGGGGUAGCAAUACCCUAGUGGCGAACGGGUGAGUAACACAUAAGCAAUCUGCCCUUCACAGGGGGAUAACAGCGGGAAACUGCUGCUAAUACCGCAUAAGACCACGGUACCGCAUGGUACAGGGGUAAAAACGAAUCAGUGGUGAAGGAUGAGCUUAUGUCCCACUAGCUAGUUGGUGAGAUAACAGCCCACCAAGGCGACGAUGGGUAGCCGACCUGAGAGGGUGAUCGGCCACACUGGAACUGAGACACGGUCCAGACUCCUACGGGAGGCAGCAGUGGGGAAUAUUGGGCAAUGGAGGAAAAACCUCUUACCCAGCAAUGCCGCGUGAGUGAAGAAGGUCUUCGGAUUGUAAAGCUCUUCGAUUGGGGACGAAGAAAGUGACGGUACCCAAAGAACAAGCCCCGGCUAACUACGUGCCAGCAGCCGC